UACGUAGGGUGCAAGCGUUAAUCGGAAUUACUGGGCGUAAAGCGUGCGCAGGCGGUUCGGAAAGAAAGAUGUGAAAUCCCAGAGCUUAACUUUGGAACUGCAUUUUUAACUCCCGAGCUAGAGUAUGUCAGAGGGGGGUAGAAUUCCACGUGUAGCAGUGAAAUGCGUAGAGAUGUGGAGGAAUACCGAUGGCGAAGGCAGCCCCCUGGGAUAAUACUGACGCUCAUGCACGAAAGCGUGGGGAGCAAAC
RNAcentral lists this ribosomal RNA (250 nucleotides) under uncultured bacterium. RNAcentral describes it as "partial 16S ribosomal RNA". It matches the Rfam family "Bacterial small subunit ribosomal RNA", at positions 524 to 773 of the family's 1533-position model. The record is from RNAcentral.